AACAUAGUUUUAUGUAUUUAUAUAAAAUAUUUUCUGCCCAAUGUUUUUAAAAAAAUCAAUGGCCGCAGUACCUUGACUGUGCUAAGGUAGCAUAAUCAAUUGGCUUUUAAUUAAGGUCUAGAAUGAAUGGGAUAAUGAAGUUAAUCUGUCUUAGUUGCUUUUAUUAAAAUUUAUUUAAAAGGUGAAAAUACCUUUUUUAAAAAUAAAGACGAGAAGACCCUUAGAAUUUUUAUUAUUUUUUUUUGUUGGGGCGACAGUUUAAAAUAUAAUCUUAAAUUUAUUGUAAUAUAUAACGAUUUUUUUAAUAGAAAUUAAAUUACCUUAGGGAUAACAGCAUAAUUAAUUAUUUAGUUUGUGACCUCGAUGUUGGACUAGGAACUAUAUGGCUAACCGUCUAAUUAGAUUUGUUCUGUUCG
This 416-nucleotide ribosomal RNA is filed under the name Planorbis planorbis. Its description in RNAcentral is "partial large subunit ribosomal RNA". The stretch from base 1 to 138 matches the Rfam family "Archaeal large subunit ribosomal RNA", at positions 1904 to 2084 of the family's 2987-position model. Lineage: Eukaryota; Metazoa; Mollusca; Gastropoda; Planorbidae. The record is from RNAcentral.